This 253-nucleotide ribosomal RNA is filed under the name uncultured bacterium. RNAcentral's name for it is "partial 16S ribosomal RNA". It matches the Rfam family "Bacterial small subunit ribosomal RNA", at positions 524 to 776 of the family's 1533-position model. The record is from RNAcentral.
UACGUAGGGUGCGAGCGUUAAUCGGAAUUACUGGGCGUAAAGCGUGCGCAGGCGGCGCGUUAAGUCAGGUGUGAAAGCCCCGAGCUUAACUUGGGAAUUGCGCUUGUGACUGGCGUGCUGGAGUGUGGCAGAGGGAGGUGGAAUUCCACGUGUAGCAGUGAAAUGCGUAGAGAUGUGGAGGAACACCGAUGGCGAAGGCAGCCUCCUGGGCCAGCACUGACGCUGAUGCACGAAAGCGUGGGGAGCAAACAGG